This 492-nucleotide ribosomal RNA is filed under the name uncultured bacterium. RNAcentral describes it as "partial 16S ribosomal RNA". It matches the Rfam family "Bacterial small subunit ribosomal RNA", at positions 29 to 507 of the family's 1533-position model. The record is from RNAcentral.
AGUGAACGCUGGCGGUAGGCCUAACACAUGCAAGUCGAACGGCAGCACAGUAAGGGCUUGCUCUUACGGGUGGCGAGUGGCGGGCGGGUGAGGAAUACAUCGGAAUCUACUUUUUCGUGGGGGAUAACGUAGGGAAACUUACGCUAAUACCGCAUACGACCUACGGGUGAAAGCAGGGGAUCUUCGGACCUUGCGCGAUUGAAUGAGCCGAUGUCGGAUUAGCUAGUUGGCGGGGUAAAGGCCCACCAAGGCGACGAUCCGUAGCUGGUCUGAGAGGAUGAUCAGCCACACUGGAACUGAGACACGGUCCAGACUCCUACGGGAGGCAGCAGUGGGGAAUAUUGGACAAUGGGCGCAAGCCUGAUCCAGCCAUACCGCGUGGGUGAAGAAGGCCUUCGGGUUGUAAAGCCCUUUUGUUGGGAAAGAAAAGCAGCAGGUUAAUACCCCACUGUUCUGACGGUACCCAAAGAAUAAGCACCGGCUAACUUCGUG